AUUGAACGCUGGCGGCAGGCCUAACACAUGCAAGUCGAGCGGAUGAAGGGAGCUUGCUCCUGGAUUCAGCGGCGGACGGGUGAGUAAUGCCUAGGAAUCUGCCUGGUAGUGGGGGAUAACGUCCGGAAACGGGCGCUAAUACCGCAUACGUCCUGAGGGAGAAAGUGGGGGAUCUUCGGACCUCACGCUAUCAGAUGAGCCUAGGUCGGAUUAGCUAGUUGGUGGGGUAAAGGCCUACCAAGGCGACGAUCCGUAACUGGUCUGAGAGGAUGAUCAGUCACACGGGAACAGAGACACGGUCCAGACUCCUGCGGGAGGCAGCAGUGGGGAAUAUUGGAGGAAGGGCGAAAGCCUGAUCCAGCAAAGCCGCGUGUGUGAAGAAGGUCUUCGGAUGGGAAAGCACUUUAAGUUGGGAGGAAGGGCAGUAAGUUAAUACCUUGCUAUUUUGACGUUACCAACAGAAUAAGCACCGGCUAGCUUCGUG
Molecule: ribosomal RNA, 484 nt
Filed under: uncultured bacterium
Lineage: Bacteria
Description: partial 16S ribosomal RNA
Rfam family: Bacterial small subunit ribosomal RNA
Source: RNAcentral